Molecule: ribosomal RNA, 694 nt
Filed under: Bacillus arbutinivorans
Lineage: Bacteria; Bacillati; Bacillota; Bacilli; Caryophanales; Bacillaceae
Description: bacterial SSU rRNA
Rfam family: Bacterial small subunit ribosomal RNA
Source: RNAcentral
AGUUUGAUGCUGGCUCUGGACGAACGCUGGCGGCGUGCCUAAUACAUGCAAGUCGAGCGAACCACUUCGGUGGUUAGCGCGGACGGGUGAGUAACACGUGGGCAACCUGCCUGUAAGACUGGGAUAACACCGGGAAACCGGUGCUAAUACCGGAUAAUCCUUUUCCUCUCAUGAGGAAAAGCUGAAAGUCGGUUUCGGCUGACACUUACAGAUGGGCCCGCGGCGCAUUAGCUAGUUGGUGAGGUAACGGCUCACCAAGGCGACGAUGCGUAGCCGACCUGAGAGGGUGAUCGGCCACACUGGGACUGAGACACGGCCCAGACUCCUACGGGAGGCAGCAGUAGGGAAUCUUCCACAAUGGACGAAAGUCUGAUGGAGCAACGCCGCGUGAGCGAUGAAGGCCUUCGGGUCGUAAAGCUCUGUUGUUAGGGAAGAACAAGUACCGGAGUAACUGCCGGUACCUUGACGGUACCUAACCAGAAAGCCACGGCUAACUACGUGCCAGCAGCCGCGGUAAUACGUAGGUGGCAAGCGUUGUCCGGAAUUAUUGGGCGUAAAGCGCGCGCAGGCGGUCCUUUAAGUCUGAUGUGAAAGCCCACGGCUCAACCGUGGAGGGUCAUUGGAAACUGGGGGACUUGAGUGCAGAAGAGGAAAGCGGAAUUCCACGUGUAGCGGUGAAAUGCGUAGAGAUGUG